This 676-nucleotide ribosomal RNA is filed under the name Halomonas saccharevitans. RNAcentral describes it as "bacterial SSU rRNA". It matches the Rfam family "Bacterial small subunit ribosomal RNA", at positions 90 to 762 of the family's 1533-position model. Lineage: Bacteria; Pseudomonadati; Pseudomonadota; Gammaproteobacteria; Oceanospirillales; Halomonadaceae. The record is from RNAcentral.
GUCGAGCGGCGGACGGGUGAGUAAUGCAUAGGAAUCUGCCCGGUAGUGGGGGAUAACCUGGGGAAACCCAGGCUAAUACCGCAUACGCCCUACGGGGGAAAGCAGGGGAUCUUCGGACCUUGCGCUAUCGGAUGAGCCUAUGUCGGAUUAGCUUGUUGGUGAGGUAAUGGCUCACCAAGGCGACGAUCCGUAGCUGGNCUGAGAGGAUGAUCAGCCACAUCGGGACUGAGACACGGCCCGAACUCCUACGGGAGGCAGCAGUGGGGAAUAUUGGACAAUGGGCGAAAGCCUGAUCCAGCCAUGCCGCGUGUGUGAAGAAGGCUUUCGGGUUGUAAAGCACUUUCAGUGAGGAAGAACGCCUUGGGCUUAAUACGCCCGAGGAAAGACAUCACUCACAGAAGAAGCACCGGCUAACUCCGUGCCAGCAGCCGCGGUAAUACGGAGGGUGCGAGCGUUAAUCGGAAUUACUGGGCGUAAAGCGCGCGUAGGUGGCUUGAUAAGCCGGUUGUGAAAGCCCCGGGCUCAACCUGGGAACGGCAUCCGGAACUGUCAGGCUAGAGUGCAGGAGAGGAAGGUAGAAUUCCCGGUGUAGCGGUGAAAUGCGUAGAGAUCGGGAGGAAUACCAGUGGCGAAGGCGGCCUUCUGGACUGACACUGACACUGAGGUGCGAAAGCGU